This 26-nucleotide non-coding RNA is filed under the name Mus musculus (house mouse). The record is from RNAcentral. Lineage: Eukaryota; Metazoa; Chordata; Mammalia; Rodentia; Muridae.
UAGAGGCUAUGGUACCGUUUCUGGAC